AGCCUGUUUAGGAGGGGAAGUGUUUUCCUGCGACCACGCCAGAGGAGAGGAAAACAUGCUUUUCUGCCACUGCAUGUCACUAAGGUCACAGAGCUUUUCACUGGUUUGAGGUCUGAUUCAUGGAACUGCUCUCAGCUUCAAUGCAGGAAGUGGUAUGAAAUGAAGAUGAAUGUCAUGCCCAAAGGCCAGAAAAAAACACCUUAUACUUCAAUUACAUUACACUCCAUGGGCAUUUAUGCUACACCCUGUCAGGAUUCAACCACUGAUCACAGUGUAGAACAGCAUGCAAGAUGGCAAUGAGGAAAAAAUAUGCCCACAGGUUGAAAUCACUGCCGCACACAGAGCAGAUUCAGGCGGAUCGUGUGCAGUCGCUGUUCCCUGUGCUAGUGUUCUUGUCCAGGGUAGGUGCUAAUGUGUGUGUAGAGUCCCUGUACUCACAAGCUCGCUGUCACGCUCAGCUGCACCUGGGCUUGUUCUGCAGGCCUGUCAAACCCCAGACCAGCCGUACAGAGGCAUACAUCCAUGUUUAAUUACAGUUGCUCUUCCUCCACCAACCCCCCCCCCCCCUCUACCCCCUUCAAGAUGAGACACCUCCUGAGAAUCCCAUAUUAUCCCCCUUUUGAAGUUUAAAAAAAUCAUUAAUAU
Cyprinus carpio carpio is the source of this 645-nucleotide long non-coding RNA. The record is from Ensembl. NCBI's taxonomy places the organism in Eukaryota, Metazoa, Chordata, Actinopteri, Cypriniformes, Cyprinidae.